RNAcentral lists this ribosomal RNA (647 nucleotides) under Zenkevitchia sandroruffoi. RNAcentral's name for it is "LSU rRNA". It matches the Rfam family "Eukaryotic large subunit ribosomal RNA", at positions 147 to 641 of the family's 3401-position model. Lineage: Eukaryota; Metazoa; Arthropoda; Malacostraca; Amphipoda; Typhlogammaridae. The record is from RNAcentral.
GAACUCUAAGUCAGCCACGAAUAGGCUAUCCCAACUAACGGCGGGAAAGACUCCACGGAGGGUGUAAGACCCGUGUGGGCGCGUGUCAAAGCUGUGCGGGCUCGGCCUCUUUUCCCUGAGAGUCGCGUUGCUUGAGCAUGCAGCGCUAAGCAGGUCGUAAACUCGAUCUAAGGCUAAAUAUGUCCACAGAACCGAUAGCGAACAAGUACCGUGAGGGAAAGUUGAAAAGCACUCUGGAGAGAGAGUCAAAAGACCGUGAAACCGCUCAGAGUAUAAGCCCAUGGCAGCUUGGAAGGCAUAUCGCUAGCGGGGCAUCGGUCUUCCUUCUCGGAGGGAGCUGGUGUUACCUUGCUACUGUUGUGGCUCGUCAAGGUAGGGGGGUCAAGUCCACAUCCCGCCGUCGUGUGGGAGGUUCUUGGGCGCGUUGUGGUCUUUCGGUUGACUUCGGUCGGUCGUUGGGUUCUUCGUGCUUGGUUCCUUCUUUUUUUGCACGGACGUUCAGACUCAGAAGCAAGACGCGAUAACCAGCCCACCACGGCACGUUGUGAGGUCACCCACAGACUUAGCUUUCGAUUGUGAUCCUUGACGCCGAGCAAGCAGCCCAAUGCGUGUCGCUAAGUUUCUAACCAGGCUUUUUCCAAGGUGCC